UACGGGGGGAGCAAGCGUUGUUCGGAUUUACUGGGCGUAAAGGGCGCGUAGGCGGCCACCGCAAGUCGACUGUGAAAUCUCCGGGCUUAACCCGGAAAGGUCAGCCGAUACUGCGGGGCUAGAGUGCAGAAGGGGCAACUGGAAUUCUCGGUGUAGCGGUGAAAUGCGUAGAUAUCGAGAGGAACACCUGCGGCGAAGGCGGCUCACUGGACUGGUAUUGACGCUGAGGUGCGAAAGCGUGGGGAGCAAACAGG
RNAcentral lists this ribosomal RNA (254 nucleotides) under uncultured bacterium. Its description in RNAcentral is "partial 16S ribosomal RNA". It matches the Rfam family "Bacterial small subunit ribosomal RNA", at positions 524 to 776 of the family's 1533-position model. The record is from RNAcentral.